This 468-nucleotide ribosomal RNA is filed under the name uncultured bacterium. RNAcentral describes it as "partial 16S ribosomal RNA". It matches the Rfam family "Bacterial small subunit ribosomal RNA", at positions 28 to 507 of the family's 1533-position model. The record is from RNAcentral.
GACGAACGCUGGCGGCGUGCUUAACACAUGCAAGUCGAACGGAAAGGCCCUGCUUUUGUGGGGUGCUCGAGUGGCGAACGGGUGAGUAACACGUGAGUAACCUGCCCCUGACUUUGGGAUAACUUCAGGAAACUGGGGCUAAUACCGGAUAGGAGCUCCUGCUGCAUGGGGGGGGUUGGAAAGUUUCGGCGGUUGGGGAUGGACUCGCGGCUUAUCAGCUUGUUGGUGGGGUAGUGGCUUACCAAGGCUUUGAAGGGUAGCCGGCCUGGGAGGGUGACCGGCCACAUUGGGACUGCGAUACGGCCCAGACUCCUACGGGCCGCAGCAGUGGGGAAUAUUGCACAAUGGGCGGAAGCCUGAUGCAGCAACGCCGCGUGCGGGAUGACGUCCUUCGGGUUGUAAACCGCUUUCGCCUGUGACGAAGCGUGAGUGACGGUAAUGGGUAAAGAAGCACCGGCUAACUACGUG